This 75-nucleotide transfer RNA is filed under the name Bacteroidota bacterium. Its description in RNAcentral is "Bacteroidetes bacterium tRNA-Pro". It matches the Rfam family "tRNA". From Rfam's summary of the family: Transfer RNA (tRNA) molecules are approximately 80 nucleotides in length. Their secondary structure includes four short double-helical elements and three loops (D, anti-codon, and T loops). Further hydrogen bonds mediate the characteristic L-shaped molecular structure. tRNAs have two regions of fundamental functional importance: the anti-codon, which is responsible for specific mRNA codon recognition, and the 3' end, to which the tRNAs corresponding amino acid is attached (by aminoacyl-tRNA synthetases). tRNAs cope with the degeneracy of the genetic code in two manners: having more than one tRNA (with a specific anti-codon) for a particular amino acid; and 'wobble' base-pairing, i.e. permitting non-standard base-pairing at the 3rd anti-codon position. Lineage: Bacteria; Pseudomonadati; Bacteroidota. RNAcentral also lists the same sequence under 2 other names. The record is from RNAcentral.
CGGGGUAUAGCGCAGUCCGGUUAGCGCAUCUGCUUUGGGAGCAGAGGGUCGCAGGUUCGAAUCCUGCUACCCCGA